GAGAUGAGUUGAACUCAACAGAGAAACCAGUAGAUUAUGAUAGAUGGAGAUGAGUUGAACUCAACAGAGAAACCAGUAGAUUAUGAUAGAUGGAGAGGAGUUGAACUCAACAGAGAAACCAGUAGAUUAUGAUAGAUGGAGAUGAGUUGAACUCAACAGAGAAACCAGUAGAUUAUGAUAGAUGGAGAUGAGUUGAAUGUUCUGGACUUCCAUGUUCAUAUCAAAGGCUUCAUGCACACUGUAUAAACAGGUGUAUACAGGUAUUGAUAUGAACAGGUGUAGAUAUGAACAGGUGUAGAUAUGAACAGGUGUGUACAUGUGUAGAUAUGAACAGGUGUAGAUAUGAACAGGUGUAGAUAUGAACAGGUGUAUACAGGUGUAGAUAUGAACAGGUGUAUACAGGUAUAGAUAUGAACAGGUGUAUACAGGUGUAGAUAUGAACAGGUGUAUACAGUUGUAGAUAUGAAAAGGUGUAGAUAUGAACAGGUGCCUCUACAGGUGUGUGUAGGUUGUGUCUACAGGUGCCUCUACAGGUGUGUGUAGGUUGUGUCUACAGGUGUGUCUGCAGGUGUCCCAGGUCAUGCUGGAGGUACAGACAGGAAGGGUCACCAGGUCAGAAGGUAGAGGUCACUCCAACCUGAUUAUUUUCCUCUC
Molecule: long non-coding RNA, 654 nt
Organism: Oncorhynchus tshawytscha (Chinook salmon)
Lineage: Eukaryota; Metazoa; Chordata; Actinopteri; Salmoniformes; Salmonidae
Source: Ensembl